This 468-nucleotide ribosomal RNA is filed under the name uncultured bacterium. Its description in RNAcentral is "partial 16S ribosomal RNA". It matches the Rfam family "Bacterial small subunit ribosomal RNA", at positions 28 to 507 of the family's 1533-position model. The record is from RNAcentral.
GAUGAACGCUGGCGGCGUGCUUAACACAUGCAAGUCGAACGGAAAGGCCCAAGCUUGCUUGGGUACUCGAGUGGCGAACGGGUGAGUAACACGUGGGUGAUCUGCCCUGCACUUCGGGAUAAGCCUGGGAAACUGGGUCUAAUACCGGAUAGGACGAUGGUUUGGAUGCCAUUGUGGAAAGUUUUUUCGGUGUGGGAUGAGCUCGCGGCCUAUCAGCUUGUUGGUGGGGUAAUGGCCUACCAAGGCGUCGACGGGUAGCCGGCCUGAGAGGGUGUACGGCCACAUUGGGACUGAGAUACGGCCCAGACUCCUACGGGAGGCAGCAGUGGGGAAUAUUGCACAAUGGGCGCAGGCCUGAUGCAGCGACGCCGCGUGGGGGAUGACGGCCUUCGGGUUGUAAACUCCUGUCGCUAGGGACGAAGCGUUUUUGUGACGGUACCUGGAGAAGAAGCACCGGCUAACUACGUG